AGAGUUUGAUCCUGGCUCAGGAUGAACGCUGGCGGCGUGCUUAACACAUGCAAGUCGAACGAAGCAUUUUAAAUGAAGUUUUCGGAUGGAUUUUAAAAUGACUGAGUGGCGGACGGGUGAGUAACGCGUGGGCAACCUGCCUUACACAGGGGGACAACAGUUAGAAAUGACUGCUAAUACCGCAUAAGCGCACAGCUUCGCAUGAAGCAGUGUGAAAAACUCCGGUGGUGUAAGAUGGGCCCGCGUUGGAUUAGGUAGUUGGUGGGGUAACGGCCUACCAAGCCGACGAUCCAUAGCCGACCUGAGAGGGUGACCGGCCACAUUGGGACUGAGACACGGCCCAAACUCCUACGGGAGGCAGCAGUGGGGAAUAUUGCACAAUGGGCGCAAGCCUGAUGCAGCGACGCCGCGUGAGCGAAGAAGUAUUUCGGUAUGUAAAGCUCUAUCAGCAGGGAAGAAAAUGACGGUACCUGACUAAGAAGCUCCGGCUAAAUACGUGCCAGCAGCCGCGGUAAUACGUAUGGAGCAAGCGUUAUCCGGAUUUACUGGGUGUAAAGGGAGCGUAGACGGACUAGCAAGUCUGAUGUGAAAGGCUGGGGCUCAACCCCGGGACUGCAUUGGAAACUGUCAGUCUUGAGUGCCGGAGAGGUAAGCGGAAUUCCUAGUGUAGCGGUGAAAUGCGUAGAUAUUAGGAGGAACACCAGUGGCGAAGGCGGCUUACUGGACGGUAACUGACGUUGAGGCUCGAAAGCGUGGGGAGCAAACCAGGAUUAGAUACCCUGGUAGUCCACGCGGUAAACGAUGAUACUAAGUGUUGGGUUGCAUAGCAAUUCGGUGC
This 838-nucleotide ribosomal RNA is filed under the name uncultured bacterium. RNAcentral's name for it is "bacterial SSU rRNA". It matches the Rfam family "Bacterial small subunit ribosomal RNA", at positions 8 to 846 of the family's 1533-position model. The record is from RNAcentral.